RNAcentral lists this microRNA (23 nucleotides) under Chrysemys picta bellii (western painted turtle). RNAcentral's name for it is "Cpi-Mir-1677-P4_5p (mature (guide))". The record is from RNAcentral. Lineage: Eukaryota; Metazoa; Chordata; Testudines; Emydidae.
UUCUGCUCUCAUUCAAAUCAAUG